CAGCCGCCGCGGGAAUACGUAGGAGGCAAGCGUUGUCCGGAAUUAUUGGGCGUAAAGGGCUCGCAGGCGGUUUCUUAAGUCUGAUGUGAAAGCCCCCGGCUCAACCGGGGAGGGUCAUUGGAAACUGGGAAACCUGAGUGCAGAAGAGGAGAGUGGAAUUCCACGUGUAGCGGUGAAAUGCGUAGAGAUGUGGAGGAACACCAGUGGCGAAGGCGACUCUCUGGUCUGUAACUGACGCUGAGGAGCGAAAGCGUGGGGAGCGAACAGGAUUAGAUACCCCGGUAGUCCCUGUCUCUUAUAC
This 301-nucleotide ribosomal RNA is filed under the name uncultured bacterium. RNAcentral's name for it is "partial 16S ribosomal RNA". It matches the Rfam family "Bacterial small subunit ribosomal RNA", at positions 509 to 807 of the family's 1533-position model. The record is from RNAcentral.